Molecule: ribosomal RNA, 490 nt
Filed under: uncultured bacterium
Lineage: Bacteria
Description: partial 16S ribosomal RNA
Rfam family: Bacterial small subunit ribosomal RNA
Source: RNAcentral
AUUGAACGCUGGCGGCAGGCCUAACACAUGCAAGUCGAACGGUAACAGGAAGAAGCUUGCUUCUUUGCUGACGAGUGGCGGACGGGUGAGUAAUGUCUGGGAAACUGCCUGAUGGAGGGGGAUAACUACUGGAAACGGUAGCUAAUACCGCAUAACGUCGCAAGCCCAAAGAGGGGGACCUUCGGGCCUCUUGCCAUCGGAUGUGCCCAGAUGGGAUUAGCUAGUAGGUGGGGUAACGGCUCACCUAGGCGACGAUCCCUAGCUGGUCUGAGAGGAUGACCAGCCACACUGGAACUGAGACACGGUCCAGACUCCUACGGGAGGCAGCAGUGGGGAAUAUUGCACAAUGGGCGCAAGCCUGAUGCAGCCAUGCCGCGUGUAUGAAGAAGGCCUUCGGGUUGUAAAGUACUUUCAGCGGGGAGGAAGGGAGUAAAGUUAAUACCUUUACUCAUUGACGUUACCCGCAGAAGAAGCACCGGCUAACUCCGUG